UGAAGUAAGUAAGGGCGUACGGUGAAUGCCUUGGUGCCAACAGGCGAAGAAGGACGCGGCAAGCUGCGAAAAGCCUCGGGAAGCUGCAAGCAAGCGAUGAUCCGGGGAUAUCCGAAUGGGGUAACCUGAUCGAGGCAAUACUCGAUCGUUCAUACCUGAAUACAUAGGGUAUGAAACGCGAAACCCGCUGAAGUGAAACAUCUCAGUAAGCGGAGGAAAAGAAAGAGAAAUCGAUUCCGUAAGUAGUGGCGAGCGAAAGCGGAUGGAGCCCAAACCGAAGGUAUUCCUUCGGGGUUGUAGGACCACGUCAUAUUCGACCAUACUGGAUAGUAGAACAGCCUGGAAAGGCUGGCCGGAGAAGGUGAAAGCCCUGUAGACGAAAUCCAGAGUGGGAAUUAGUGGUAUCCUGAGUAAUACAUCACACGUGGAACGAUGUAUGAACCCGCGCGGACCACCGCGCAAGGCUAAAUACUAGUUGGCGACCGAUAGUGAACAAGUACCGCGAGGGAAAGGUGAAAAGAACCGCUGUGAGCGGAGUGAAAUAGAACCUGAAACCGUAUGUCUACAAAGUGUCAGAGCAGAGCAAUCUGCGAUGGCGUGCCUUUUGUUUAAUGAGUCUGCGAGUCAGUGUUUGUGGCAAGACUAAGGGCUUCCGGCCCGGAGUCGCAGCGAAAGCAAGUCCGAACAGGGCGCAAUAAGUCGCAGGUACUGGACCCGAAGCGGAGGUGACCUACCCUUGGCCAGGUUGAAGCAUGGGUAAAACCAUGUGGAGGACCGAACAGGUGAACGUUGAAAAGUUCUCUGAUGAGCUGAGGGUAGGAGUGAAAGGCUAAUCAAACCCCGUGAUAGCUGGUUCUCUUCGAAAUGCAUUUAGGUGCAGCGUCACGUGCUGAUGCGCGGGGGUAGAGCACUGACAAGGCUAGGGGGCACACCCGCUUACCAAACCUUAUCAAACUCCGAAUACCGUGCAAUGGAACGUGGCAGUGAGACAGUGGGGGAUAAGCUUCAUUGUCGAGAGGGAAACAACCCAGACCAGCAGCUAAGGUGCCUAAAUAACGCUCAGUGGAAAGGAUGUGGGAUUACACAGACAGUGAGGAUGUUGGCUUAGAAGCAGCCACCAUUUAAAAAAUGCGUAAUAGCUUACUCAUCGAGUGAUCCUGCGCCGAAAAUGAUUGGCGAUCAAGCGUUAUACCGAAGCUCUGGACUUUGCCGCAAGGCAGAGUGGUAGAAGAGCGUUGCAUGCGCGUCGAAGGGCGAUGGCGACUGACCCUGGAGCACAUGCAAGUGAGUAUGCAGACAUGAGUAACGUUAAGCCGGGUGAAAUCCCCGGCCGCCGUAAACCCGAGGUUUCCAGGGCAACGUGUUUCGUCCCUGGGUUAGCCGGGACCUAAGCCGAGGCCGAGAGGCGUAGGCGAUGGACAUCAGGUUAAUAAUCCUGAGCUCGCAACCCUUAAACUGGGGGGACGCAUGAGAAAAGAUGACUAGGUUAUUGAAUUCCGAGUUGAGUCUACGGACUCAGCGCAUCAUUGGAUCGAGUGCCAAGAAAAGCCCCAGCGUAUGCUAAGCGACCCGUACCGCAAACCGACACAGGUGGGUGGGUAGAAUAUACCAAGGCGUAAGAGUGAAACCUGGUUAAGGAACUCGGCAAAUUAGCCCCGUAACUUCGGAAGAAGGGGUGCCUGCAGCGAUGCAGGCCGCAGAGAAAUGGCCCAACCGACUGUUUAUCAAAAACACAGCACUCUGCAAAGACGCAAGUCGAAGUAUAGGGUGUGACACGUGACCAAUGCCGAAAGAUUAAGGCAAGGGGUUAGCCGCAAGGCGAAGCUCUAAACCCAAGUCCCGGUGAAUGUCGGCCGUAACUAUAACGGUCCUAAGGUAGCGAAAUUCCUUGUCGGGUAAGUUCCGACCUGCACGAAUCGUGAAACGAGUUGGGCACUGUCUCAACCAGGCGCUCAGUGAAAUUGUAGUGGCGGUGAAGAUGCCGCCUACCCGCAGAAGGACGGAAAGACCCUAUAGACCUUAACUGUAAGCUGUCAUUGUUUCUUCGGUUUUAAUGCUCAGAGUAAGUGGGAGACGCUGAAGACGCCCUUUAGGGGGCGUCCGAGUCAUCAAUGAGACACCACCCUUUGAAACUGGAGGAUCUAACCCUGAGCCGUGAAUCCGGCCAGAGGACCGUGUCAGCCGGUCAGUUUUACUGGGGCGGUAUCCUCCCAAAGAGUAACGGAGGAGCGCGAAGGUGGGCUCAGCCC
RNAcentral lists this ribosomal RNA (2249 nucleotides) under human gut metagenome. RNAcentral describes it as "bacterial LSU rRNA". It matches the Rfam family "Bacterial large subunit ribosomal RNA", at positions 1 to 2328 of the family's 2925-position model. The record is from RNAcentral.